Small nucleolar RNA from Phytophthora infestans T30-4, 233 nucleotides. It matches the Rfam family "Small nucleolar RNA U3". Rfam says of the family: Small nucleolar RNAs (snoRNAs) are involved in the processing and modification of rRNA in the nucleolus. The record is from Rfam. Lineage: Eukaryota; Oomycota; Peronosporomycetes; Peronosporales; Peronosporaceae.
AAGACCGUACUUACACAGGAUCAUUUCUAUAGUACCUUCUUUUCUACUUAACUUUCCUCGUAGACAAUCUCAAUAACUUUGAUGAUCGUACGUCUGUAUUCGACUUCAUUCAUUGACUCGGGAUGUCGGUGGUUGCAGUGCUGGGUUCUCUUUUGAACUUGGUCUCCCCCAUUGAUGAACGUCCGCAGUCGCUAUUCCAAGGCAGCGUGAGUGAGUGGAGUGAUAUGAGAAGU